This 592-nucleotide non-coding RNA is filed under the name unclassified sequences. RNAcentral describes it as "ROOL RNA". It matches the Rfam family "ROOL RNA". Rfam says of the family: Firmicutes, Fusobacteria (1 example), Tenericutes (1 example). The record is from Rfam by way of RNAcentral.
CAUUUGAUUAUGGUUGUUGUAUAACUCAGUGCAGACACAAUAUCAUGUGGCUGAGAGUCCUCUCCUAAUCAAGACGCCCCCUGCUUAGUAGCAAUGACGGAUACGUUAUUGCGGCAGUGCUUCCCAUUCGUGAGUUUGGGAACAACGAGAGAUAAAACUCUCGCCGGCCGGGAGGAUGUACUGGAAUUAUCGCUAUCAAAACUACUGUCUCGUCGCCGUCGCAAUAGAAGGCAAGCGUUAAAAGCGUAGCCCGAAUCUUGAUAAGGUUUAAAUUUGGUACCCUAUGCAAACUCAAGAAAUACCACUAAGGCGGUUUGUCGUGAAGUUGCAGUAAUGUAACUAUAAGACGAGGUCAAGGUACAAGUAGCCCAAGACAAUGACUAAGAAGAAAAGAUGCAAAAAUCUUUACUAAUGUGAAUGAUGGGUGAACGCUGCGGAUAACCACUUCCGCAUAGGUAAGUGUACAGCAUAAGCUGUUACGGCAUAAAGUCUAGGGUCGCUCCCGAAAGCUCACUUAUGUCGUCCUAUUGAGUGAAUAUGAUAGAAGGUAAUGACCAGCAACCCGAAGGGGUAUAUGGCGAUCAUAAUCAAG